Molecule: long non-coding RNA, 1391 nt
Organism: Lagopus leucura (white-tailed ptarmigan)
Lineage: Eukaryota; Metazoa; Chordata; Aves; Galliformes; Phasianidae
Exons: 2
Source: RefSeq, a predicted model, not a curated record
UGCACACAGCAGGGGUUGGAACCCGAUGAUCACUGGAGUCCUUUUCAACCCAGGCCGUUCUGUGAUUCUAAGAAAUUGGGGUGUCAGCACCGAGAGCCAAAGGAAACACUCUGAGCACCGCAGAGCUGUGCAACUCGGGGAAGGUGUGUGCGCAGCCAACGCCUCCGCUCAGCACACACAGAACUGCACAAUUCUGAACGCACAGCUGCACGCUCCCAAAUGCAGAGCCGCACACUUCUGAGCCCUCCUGCCCACCAGAGCUGCCUGAUGCAGGCACAACAGAACAAGUAACACUCACCAAAUCCAUGAAUGACGGCGACUACGUGCAAUAUUAACAUUCAACAUCUUCCACGCUGGUGUUUCUCUCCUUGUCGCCUGAGCGCGCUCAGCACAUUCUGUGCUCACCCCCAGCUCCCCUCGUGCUGAACUUGUAUCAGCAGCACGCAGAUACCUCCACGAGUUUUUAUUCUUUCUGAUUACAUGUCAACUCCCAUUUCAGGGUGGAUGUCACUUCGCACACGAAUACAAACGACUUGGCAAUCAGACCGUGAGGGUGCCGCGGAACAGCCUCUCCAGACUCCCAUAGUUCUUCGUCUCUAUCAGAAGAAAAAAGAUCUAUUUCUGGCAGAACCCAAACUGCAGCUUCCUGCUCUCAUUUGUAUCAUCCCUUCCAGUGACACUGACACAGAAGGAAAAAAAAAAAAGCAGCGGCGGGUGUUCUCCAAACUCCAGAGACAUCCCCCCGUUCCUGUUUAUCCUCCCCAGGUCACACUCAUCGCUCACUCAGACGCUGCUGAGCUCAAGUUUCCGACGCUCCCAUCGCGUGUGACAAGCCGCAGGGAUCGCUCCUCUGUGACAAAGGCCUGGGUUAGCAAUGGCAACAAAGGGUGAGCCCUGAGGACGGCUCCCAGUGCCCCAGCAGCGCCUGGCUGGCCCUUGGCACAGGCAGCGGCACGCUCUGCUUCGCUCCGUCACUCGGGGACGCGUCUGUGCUCAGAGCGGAGCCCCGCUCCCUGCAUCUGCUUCUAGGAAAAUGCUCCAAGCAGCCCUUCCCCUCCUUGAGCAUCCCUGAUGUGAUGCGGAUAAUUCCACUGUGCUCCUGGAAUGCUUAUCAUGCUGGACACUCCAGGUCCUCCAGCACAUUCUACCUUCAUUCUCCCAAUCAACAGCAGAUUGCUGCAAAGCUUCAGGAAUGCUCUCAGUGCCCAGAAAGUACCACUGCAGAGCCCGAAAGAAAUCACCUGGUAUUUUCGAUGUCUGGAGACAAAGCAGAAGUGCAGCACAUUUGUGUGCACGUCCCGUGGCACCUCUUACCUGAUUAAAAGCCAUGUACCCUUCAAGAACACACUGGGGCUUUCACCCCAGAGAAAUAAAUAAGAUACUGACCACAC